Molecule: transfer RNA, 82 nt
Filed under: Candidatus Curtissbacteria bacterium RIFCSPHIGHO2_01_FULL_34_40
Lineage: Bacteria; Candidatus Curtissiibacteriota
Also listed under: 9 other names
Description: tRNA-Leu
Rfam family: tRNA
About the family: Transfer RNA (tRNA) molecules are approximately 80 nucleotides in length. Their secondary structure includes four short double-helical elements and three loops (D, anti-codon, and T loops).
Source: RNAcentral
GCCGAGGUGGCGAAACUGGCAGACGCGCACGGUUUAGGACCGUGUGCCGCAAGGCAUGGAGGUUCGAGUCCUCUCCUCGGCA